AUAUCAAUAAGCGGAGGAAAAGAAACCAACAGGGAUUGCCUCAGUAACGGCGAGUGAAGCGGCAACAGCUCAAAUUUGAAAUCUGGCCCUUUCAGGGUCCGAGUUGUAAUUUGUAGAAGAUGCUUCGGGUGUGGCUCCGGUCUAAGUUCCUUGGAACAGGACGUCAUAGAGGGUGAGAAUCCCGUAUGUGACUGGUUGCCUUCGCCCAUGUGAAGCUCUUUCGACGAGUCGAGUUGUUUGGGAAUGCAGCUCAAAAUGGGUGGUAAAUUUCAUCUAAAGCUAAAUAUUGGCCAGAGACCGAUAGCGCACAAGUAGAGUGAUCGAAAGAUGAAAAGCACUUUGAAAAGAGAGUUAAACAGUAUGUGAAAUUGUUGAAAGGGAAGCGCUUGCAACCAGACUUGAGCGCGGCGGUUCCCCUGACCUUUUGGUUAGGCUACUCCGUCGUGUCCAGGCCAACAUCGGUUCUGAGGGUCGGUCAAAGGCCUUGGGAAUGUAUCUACCCACGGGUAGACUUAUAGACCAGGGUGUCAUGCGGCCUCUCGGGACCGAGGAACGCGCUUCGGCUCGGAUGUUGGCGUAAUGGUUGUCAGCGA
Molecule: ribosomal RNA, 593 nt
Filed under: uncultured fungus
Lineage: Eukaryota; Fungi
Description: eukaryotic LSU rRNA
Rfam family: Eukaryotic large subunit ribosomal RNA
Source: RNAcentral